GACACAAGUGUCCAUGGUUUUGUUCAGUCGGCCCAUAUGUGUGACAGAUGUUCGCCACUGGUUACCCUCGAGUCUGCCGUCUGUCAGUCAGCUCCUAGUGCAGAGUCGGGGGGGGGGGGGGGGCUUCUGAGGCAGAGUGAAACGACCCGGAAGUAUUUCAUCGACAGUCAUGUUAAGAGCUGUUCGGGUUCUUUCAAUGCUUGAGAAAGGUGCUACAAUGCUUCCUUUCCUAUCUCCUUUAGCAUAGUGCACACUGGACCUACGCUGGGCGAAGGAAAGGAGAAGUAGAUGCCCUACAAUUCGUUGCGGCACCAGUAUUUAACGUGACGCGCCAUGCACAAACUUAGACAAUUAAAUCCGAGGUAGAAGAAGAAGAAGAUGAAUAUGUGACCGAGAUGGCACCCUCAUCAUCAUCACCGCUGUUGGCUUUUCCUAAGUCCUAUGAAUCCUCCUUUACACCUUUACUUGACCUCAUGACGAUUUCCAUUGAGGUUAAGGAAAAGUGAUUAGGAAAAGGUGAUAGGAAGGACUUUCCAAAUCCACCCUCCGUUUUCUCUGGAAGACAUCAAGAGGACCCUGGGACAUCUGUGUCUGCAGGUGACAGGAGCCCAACAGAGGGUCAGCACUUGCUUGGGUGUUCAUGGUCCUGGUGUGGAAACUAAAUCACUCCCUGCUAAUUCCUCACCUCAUCCCAGUCCCCUCCACCAGCUGAAGGUUUGUGUAGUGUGGCGUCGGUGGAUCAUCUGAAUGACACGUUCCACCAAGAGAGCAAAUCAAGCUUGACAACAGCGUGAAAGUCUGACAAGCGCACAGAAAAAUACCCAAAAGCUGUUGUGAAUGACAGUUGUUUAAUGGAACUGUUUAAGAAGUGCCAGACGUCUGGACAGACCAUAACCAAAAAGGUGUUUCACUGUGGUGCAAAGAAGAAGGUGAGGUGGAGACACCUUGGUGGACACAUGUAUUUACUGUAUGUUUUUUGAUGUAUGUAUGUAUAUAUAUACCUUGUUUAUUUAUGUGCAUUGCUGUCUUUUUAUAAUUUAACUACCUAUCAUGUAUCUUAAUCUUUGAGAACAAAAAAACUGGGUGAAAAAACAUGAAUAAAGACAUUUAAAAUUCA
Scophthalmus maximus (turbot) is the source of this 1117-nucleotide long non-coding RNA. RefSeq lists it as uncharacterized. The record is from RefSeq and is a predicted model, not a curated record. The transcript has 4 exons. NCBI's taxonomy places the organism in Eukaryota, Metazoa, Chordata, Actinopteri, Pleuronectiformes, Scophthalmidae.